ACAAACCUGUCGCUGUCUCCUCCCCCACAAGUGGGUCUGAGGGCCGUCCACAUACUUUUGGCCACAUGCCAGCAGCUUCUGCAGCUGGACAGGUGAAAGGUGUCAGGUGACCACCCGGACCAGUUUUCACCACUGCAGAGUCCCAGUUCAUCAGGUGAUCACUGUGUGUUGAUCAGUUUCUGGGAUGAAGUCAGACACGGCAGGUUUGAUGCUGAAUCAAGCUUUAUUCAAAAUGACCAUGCAGCAC
Molecule: long non-coding RNA, 247 nt
Organism: Micropterus salmoides (largemouth bass)
Lineage: Eukaryota; Metazoa; Chordata; Actinopteri; Centrarchiformes; Centrarchidae
Exons: 3
Source: RefSeq, a predicted model, not a curated record